RNAcentral lists this ribosomal RNA (305 nucleotides) under uncultured bacterium. RNAcentral's name for it is "bacterial SSU rRNA". It matches the Rfam family "Bacterial small subunit ribosomal RNA", at positions 334 to 656 of the family's 1533-position model. The record is from RNAcentral.
CUUACCUACGGGGGGCAGCAGUGGGGGAUAUUGCACAAUGGGGGAAACCCUGAUGCAGCGACGCCGCGUGGGUGAAGAAGCGCCUCGGCGCGUAAAGCCCUGUCAGCAGGGAAGAAAAUGACGGUACCUGAAGAAGAAGCCCCGGCUAACUACGUGCCAGCAGCCGCGGUAAUACGUAGGGGGCAAGCGUUAUCCGGAUUUACUGGGUGUAAAGGGGGCGCAGACGGCGAUGCAAGCCAGGAGUAAAAGACCGGGGCCCAACCCCGGGACUGCUCUUGGAACUGCGUGGAUCGAGCGCAGGAGGG